UGCCAGUGUGGUGGAAUGGUAUACACGGACGACUCAAAAUCGUCUGACGAAAGUCAUGAGAGUUCGAAUCUCUCCACUGGUAG
This 83-nucleotide transfer RNA is filed under the name Gammaproteobacteria bacterium. RNAcentral describes it as "tRNA-Leu". It matches the Rfam family "tRNA". From Rfam's summary of the family: Transfer RNA (tRNA) molecules are approximately 80 nucleotides in length. Their secondary structure includes four short double-helical elements and three loops (D, anti-codon, and T loops). Further hydrogen bonds mediate the characteristic L-shaped molecular structure. tRNAs have two regions of fundamental functional importance: the anti-codon, which is responsible for specific mRNA codon recognition, and the 3' end, to which the tRNAs corresponding amino acid is attached (by aminoacyl-tRNA synthetases). tRNAs cope with the degeneracy of the genetic code in two manners: having more than one tRNA (with a specific anti-codon) for a particular amino acid; and 'wobble' base-pairing, i.e. permitting non-standard base-pairing at the 3rd anti-codon position. Lineage: Bacteria; Pseudomonadati; Pseudomonadota; Gammaproteobacteria. The record is from RNAcentral.